RNAcentral lists this ribosomal RNA (459 nucleotides) under uncultured bacterium. Its description in RNAcentral is "partial 16S ribosomal RNA". It matches the Rfam family "Bacterial small subunit ribosomal RNA", at positions 29 to 507 of the family's 1533-position model. The record is from RNAcentral.
ACGAACGCUGGCGGCGUGCUUAACACCUGCCCGUCGAGCGGUAAGGCCUCUUCGGGGGUACCCGAGCGGCGACCGGGUGAGUAACACGUGGGUGACCUGCCCUCAGCUCUGGGAUAAGCCUGGGAAACUGGGUCUAAUACCGGAUAUGACCUUUCCUCGCAUGGGGUUUGGUGGAAAGUUUUUUCGGCCCGGGCUGGGCCCGCGGCCCCUCAGCUUGUUGGUGGGGUGAUGGCCUACCAAGGCGACGACGGGCAGCCGGCCUGAGAGGGCGCCCGGCCCCACGGGGACGGAGACACGGCCCAGACGCCUACGGGAGGCAGCAGUGGGGAAUAUUGCGCAAUGGGCGGAAGCCUGACGCAGCGACGCCGCGUGGGGGAGGACGGCCUGCGGGUUGUAAACCUCUUUCGACCCCGACGAAUUUGGACGGUAGGGGUAGAAGAAGCACCGGCCAACUACGUG